Molecule: ribosomal RNA, 759 nt
Filed under: uncultured Enterobacteriaceae bacterium
Lineage: Bacteria; Pseudomonadati; Pseudomonadota; Gammaproteobacteria; Enterobacterales; Enterobacteriaceae
Description: bacterial SSU rRNA
Rfam family: Bacterial small subunit ribosomal RNA
Source: RNAcentral
AUUGAACGCUGGCGGCAGGCCUAACACAUGCAAGUCGAACGGUAACAGGAAGCAGCUUGCUGCUUCGCUGACGAGUGGCGGACGGGUGAGUAAUGUCUGGGAAACUGCCUGAUGGAGGGGGAUAACUACUGGAAACGGUAGCUAAUACCGCAUAACGUCGCAAGACCAAAGAGGGGGACCUUCGGGCCUCUUGCCAUCGGAUGUGCCCAGAUGGGAUUAGCUAGUAGGUGGGGUAACGGCUCACCUAGGCGACGAUCCCUAGCUGGUCUGAGAGGAUGACCAGCCACACUGGAACUGAGACACGGUCCAGACUCCUACGGGAGGCAGCAGUGGGGAAUAUUGCACAAUGGGCGCAAGCCUGAUGCAGCCAUGCCGCGUGUAUGAAGAAGGCCUUCGGGUUGUAAAGUACUUUCAGCGGGGAGGAAGGCGACAGGGUUAAUAACCCUGUCGAUUGACGUUACCCGCAGAAGAAGCACCGGCUAACUCCGUGCCAGCAGCCGCGGUAAUACGGAGGGUGCAAGCGUUAAUCGGAAUUACUGGGCGUAAAGCGCACGCAGGCGGUCUGUCAAGUCGGAUGUGAAAUCCCCGGGCUCAACCUGGGAACUGCAUUCGAAACUGGCAGGCUAGAGUCUUGUAGAGGGGGGUAGAAUUCCAGGUGUAGCGGUGAAAUGCGUAGAGAUCUGGAGGAAUACCGGUGGCGAAGGCGGCCCCCUGGACAAAGACUGACGCUCAGGUGCGAAAGCGUGGGGAGCAAACAGG